Molecule: unclassified non-coding RNA, 223 nt
Filed under: Hevea brasiliensis (rubber tree)
Lineage: Eukaryota; Viridiplantae; Streptophyta; Magnoliopsida; Malpighiales; Euphorbiaceae
Source: RNAcentral
GAGUUCCACCUUCAGGAGGUGGUUUUCCUAGUGUAAAAGUGCAAAAGCAAGUUCCCAUGUCGUCUGCUACUAACUCCAGUUUGAUGAAUUUCUCACAUUUCUCAAGACCUGCUGCUUUUGUUAAAGCUAAUCUUCAUAACAAUGGCACAAGAGCUGGUUCAGGAAUAUCAAGCAUCGAAAGAAUGGUUAGUAAGGAUAAGGGUUCAAUUGCUUUUGCACUUUA